UUGAGCCGGAUGAUGCGAAAGUGUCAAGUCCGGUUCUUAGGAGGGGAUGAGAUGGUGACAUCAAUUCCCUACCCGCC
This 77-nucleotide non-coding RNA is filed under the name Limnospira indica PCC 8005. Lineage: Bacteria; Bacillati; Cyanobacteriota; Cyanophyceae; Oscillatoriales; Sirenicapillariaceae. The record is from RNAcentral.